Molecule: ribosomal RNA, 252 nt
Filed under: uncultured bacterium
Lineage: Bacteria
Description: partial 16S ribosomal RNA
Rfam family: Bacterial small subunit ribosomal RNA
Source: RNAcentral
UACGGAGGAUGCGAGCGUUAUCCGGAUUUAUUGGGUUUAAAGGGUGCGUAGGCGGACUGUCAAGUCAGCGGUAAAAUUGAGAGGCUCAACCUCUUCCCGCCGUUGAAACUGGUGGUCUUGAGUGGAUGAGAAGUACGCGGAAUGCGUGAUGUAGCGGUGAAAUGCAUAGAUAUCACGCAGAACUCCGAUUGCGAAGGCAGCGUACCGGCAUCCAACUGACGCUGAGGCACGAAAGCGUGGGGAUCAAACAGG